GUCGAGCGGAUGAAGGGAGCUUGCUCCUGGAUUCAGCGGCGGACGGGUGAGUAAUGCCUAGGAAUCUGCCUGGUAGUGGGGGAUAACGUCCGGAAACGGGCGCUAAUACCGCAUACGUCCUGAGGGAGAAAGUGGGGGAUCUUCGGACCUCACGCUAUCAGAUGAGCCUAGGUCGGAUUAGCUAGUUGGUGGGGUAAAGGCCUACCAAGGCGACGAUCCGUAACUGGUCUGAGAGGAUGAUCAGUCACACUGGAACUGAGACACGGUCCAGACUCCUACGGGAGGCAGCAGUGGGGAAUAUUGGACAAUGGGCGAAAGCCUGAUCCAGCCAUGCCGCGUGUGUGAAGAAGGUCUUCGGAUUGUAAAGCACUUUAAGUUGGGAGGAAGGGCAGUAAGUUAUACCUUGCUGUUUUCACUUUACCAACUGAAUAAGCACCGGCUAACUGC
Molecule: ribosomal RNA, 447 nt
Filed under: Pseudomonas aeruginosa
Lineage: Bacteria; Pseudomonadati; Pseudomonadota; Gammaproteobacteria; Pseudomonadales; Pseudomonadaceae
Description: bacterial SSU rRNA
Rfam family: Bacterial small subunit ribosomal RNA
Source: RNAcentral